UCUCAGCGUAGCGAGGACCGUUAAGGAAACGGUUUGUCGCUCCGAUUUUUCUCAACGCGAUACAGCCAGUCUAGGAUAGGUAAAGAAAUAUCACUGUUGCGGAAAAAGAGACAUUAUUUUCGAUUAAUUAACUCGGCUGUGGAGUUUUCUAGCUCCGUCUCGCGGCGGCUUAGCCUUCGAUACGAGUUCGUGGUCUGUUGCGUUACGUUGCGUCGCGUGGCUAGUUUAUUUUGUAUUCCGAUCACAAACAGACGCCUACAAUGUGUAAGAACAGCACUUGCAAUACCCGCAAGGACUAAUCGGAGCAGGUAAUUGAGGCAUUCUUUUGUUCAAUCAUCGAUCAAUGGAUAAUGUAAGUGAUGAAAUAUUCAUUUAUCUAGAGGAAAAUUAUUCAAGGGGACUUUUUUGAGCCCUAAAUGUGCAGUGCUCAAUGAAGGCUCCGUAGUCACAGCAAAAGUCCCGUAGCCACAGAAUUUAGAAAAUGAAAAUCCCUGACGUUUUCCUAAUUUCUCUGUCACAUUUUGGUACAAUUCCCUGAGAAUUAAUUGAGAUGUAAAGAUGGUUAAAAAGCAAGAUUUGAAAUUGUUUUCAGUCAAAAUGAAUUGUUCAAAACGUCAAACCCACCCUGGAAAGAUAAUAAAGGUACCUUGACAAUUUUCUCUGACAUUUUCGUAAUUUUCCGUGACAUUUCCCGGUUUUCCCGAUUUUCCCGGCAUCCCCGGAAUUCCCUGACUGUGGCAACUCUGACAUAGUUGAAUAUUUUGAAACGUUUUAAUCCAGAUACGUAAUCGAUAGUCACGGAUAAUUAUUUUCCAAUUUUCGCUGAAACCAACAACGAUCUCGCGGUUGAAACUAUAGCGAAAUCACGAGAUAUUUUGGUUGGUUCCCCUCGAAAAAAAUGAAAUAUAUUUGAAAAUUUUGAAACGUCGUAAUCCAGCUAUGUAAUCGAUAGUCAUUGAUAAUUAUUUUUCAAUUUUCGCUGAAACCGGCAACGCCCUCCGGCUGAAACCGGCGCGGCGCCAGUACACCGCUCUCGCUAAGAGCGGCCAGCUUGUUGCUUCCUGAGGAGGGAGCUUUUCUGGUUGCCAGUGGAGUCAACGCCACGAUUUCACAUCGCGAGUCUCCUGGAAAAUCCAGGGAUUCUUGCCGGCACUUGACAUCGCAGCGGGUUUGAUUGCGGGAUAAUUGUUGUUUUCCGCCCGUGGAAUAAUAAUUACGCCAACUAAUGAUUGAUUAUUGACGUACCGUUGGACAUCUGAGCAUCGGCUCACACGU
Molecule: long non-coding RNA, 1275 nt
Filed under: Bemisia tabaci
Lineage: Eukaryota; Metazoa; Arthropoda; Insecta; Hemiptera; Aleyrodidae
Description: lncRNA ENSSSA1UGG008133
Source: RNAcentral